GGGGCUAUAGCUCAGUAGGGAGAGCGCUACACUGGCAGUGUAGAGGUCAGCGGUUCGAACCCGCUUAGCUCCACCA
Molecule: transfer RNA, 76 nt
Filed under: Alphaproteobacteria bacterium
Lineage: Bacteria; Pseudomonadati; Pseudomonadota; Alphaproteobacteria
Description: tRNA-Ala
Rfam family: tRNA
About the family: Transfer RNA (tRNA) molecules are approximately 80 nucleotides in length. Their secondary structure includes four short double-helical elements and three loops (D, anti-codon, and T loops).
Source: RNAcentral